This 253-nucleotide ribosomal RNA is filed under the name uncultured bacterium. RNAcentral describes it as "partial 16S ribosomal RNA". It matches the Rfam family "Bacterial small subunit ribosomal RNA", at positions 524 to 776 of the family's 1533-position model. The record is from RNAcentral.
UACGUAGGGUGCGAGCGUUAAUCGGAAUUACUGGGCGUAAAGCGUGCGCAGGCGGUUGUGCAAGACAGAUGUGAAAGCCCCGGGCUUAACCUGGGAAUGGCAUUUGGGACUGCAAGGCUUGAGUGCGGCAGAGGAGACUGGAAUUCCUGGUGUAGCAGUGAAAUGCGUAGAUAUCAGGAGGAAUACCGAUGGCGAAGGCAGGUCUCUGGGCUGACACUGACGCUCAUGCACGAAAGCGUGGGGAGCAAACAGG